Molecule: ribosomal RNA, 1482 nt
Filed under: Triticum aestivum (bread wheat)
Lineage: Eukaryota; Viridiplantae; Streptophyta; Magnoliopsida; Poales; Poaceae
Description: partial small subunit ribosomal RNA
Source: RNAcentral
AUGAGCGACCUGGGCCUGCACGUGGAGGAGACGUUCCUCGAUGUGCCGGAGCCCGGCCUGCACGUCCACCUCGCCCGCCUCCUUCGCACCAAGGACGGCGCCGACGUGGCGUUCAAGGUUAGCGACGAGACGUUUGGUGCACACAGCUGCAUGCUCGCGGCACGGUCUCCGGUCUUCAAGGCGGAGCUCUCCGGCCACAAGGCUGACAUGUGCGUCAAGAUCGACGGUAUGGAUGCUCCGGUGUUCCAAGCUUUCCUCCACUUCAUAUACACGGACUCGUUGCCGGACAUGGCCGGGCAAGAGGACGUGCCUGCCGUGGUACGACAGUUAAGCGCGGCGGCGGACAGAUAUCAAGUGGCAAGGCUAAAGUUGGUCUGCGAGGACAAGCUAAACAAAACCACGGCGAUCGUGGAUCAGCGACAACGGCAUCACCGCCAACGGUGGUUCAUGGGGACGUGCUUGGAGUUCAUGAUUUUGCUUCACCCUCGACGCCAACCGCCACAACACUCUCUCCCGUCAACGACGACGCCGAGCUCCACGCCCUCCGCCUCGGCCAUCGUCGUCUCGGAGACGAGCGGGCACCACGUGCUCAAGAUCGAAGGCUACUCGUGGACGAAGAUGAUGCUCCAAAGGGGCCAGCAUGUCGCCUCCAGAGAGUUCCAGGUUGGAGGCCACACCUGGCGCAUGAAGUACUAUCCCAACGGCUGCGACCAGGGCAGCGCAGGCUACAUAUCCAUGCAGCUCGAAUGCACCAUGGUCGCCACGGACGUCGACGUCGUGCAUGCAAAGGUCAAGCUCAGCCUGCCCGGUCACGCCACGGAGUAUUUUCCGUUGUGUGCUUUCACCAAAGACGAGUGCGCUUUCACCAAGCACGACAGCUCCAUCAACUUUGACAGAUUCGUCAAGAGGUCCGAGCUGGAGAGCUCAAGCUAUCUCAGGGACGACUGCAUCAGCGUCCGGUGCGACCUCGCCGUCUUCGUGAACGAGGUGCGCGUGGAGCCGGCCGUGGUGGUGCCGCCGCCCGCCCUGCCCCGGCACCUUUCCCAGAUGCUUUCCUAUCAGGAGUGGAGCGACGUGUCAUUCAAGGUUGGCCGUGAGACAUUCGCGGCGCACCGCUGCAUCCUCGCUGCUCGGUCACCGGUCUUCAAGGCAGAGCUCGUCGUCCCCAUGAAGGAGAACAAGAUGAGGUGCGUGCACAUCGAGGACAUGGACGUGGCCGUGUUCCGGGCAUUGCUCCACUUCAUCUACACCGACGAGCUGCCCGCCACGACCAGGAAAGAAGAGACGGCCAUGGCCCAGCACCUGCUCGUCGCGGCGGACAGAUACGACAUGGAGAGGCUGAAGCUUGUCUGCCAGGACAGCUGUGCAGGCACCUCGACGCGGCCACCGCGGCGACAACCCUGGCAUUGGCCGAGCAGCACCAAUACCCACGGCUCAAGGAGGCCGUCUUCGUGUUCCUCUGCAGCUCGCCUGCCAACUUGA